GUGGGGAAUAUUGGGCAAUGGGCGAGAGCCUGAACCAGCCAAGUCGCGUGAAGGAAGAAGGAUCUAUGGUUCGUAAACUUCUUUUGCAGGGGAAUAAAGUGCAGGACGUGUCCUGUUUUGUAUGUACCCUGAGAAUAAGGAUCGGCUAACUCCGUGCCAGCAGCCGCGGUAAUACGGAGGAUCCGAGCGUUAUCCGGAUUUAUUGGGUUUAAAGGGUGCGUAGGUGGUUUGAUAAGUCAGCGGUGAAAGUUUGCAGCUUAACUGUAAAAAUGCAGUUGAAACUGGCGGACUUGAGUGUAAAUGAGGUAGGCGGAAUGCGUGGUGUAGCGGUGAAAUGCAUAGAUAUCACGCAGAACUCCGAUUGCGAAGGCAGCUUACUAAGCUACAACUGACACUGAAGCACGAAAGCGUGGGGAUCAAACAGGAUUAGAUACCCCAGUAGUCC
This 445-nucleotide ribosomal RNA is filed under the name uncultured bacterium. Its description in RNAcentral is "partial 16S ribosomal RNA". It matches the Rfam family "Bacterial small subunit ribosomal RNA", at positions 354 to 796 of the family's 1533-position model. The record is from RNAcentral.